Long non-coding RNA from Oreochromis aureus, 859 nucleotides. The record is from Ensembl. Lineage: Eukaryota; Metazoa; Chordata; Actinopteri; Cichliformes; Cichlidae.
UAUGAGCUUUCUCCCUUUGCUUCUGUUUUAAACAACAACUUUUCUUUUUUUUUUUUUUUACUUCAACAAGCAUUUGUUAUUCUGUAACUGCAUUUUAUAUAAGAGGACUAAGUUAGAGCUGCAUCUGUUAUCUCAAUAUUUUAUAUGUCACUCAGUUUAGUUACAAGCAAAACUCCUAUUCAGUUCCUCUUUCUGUCAUUUGUUAUUGGGCCAACUCAAAUUCAGUUAAAAGCUAAAGGAAUUUCAGGCCCUAGGCCUCAAAUCAAUACUGUCCUAAAUCCCACAUUUUCUACUCAUCAAAUGUUCACUAUUUUCCCCAAAGCAUAUCCUUUAUUCCCACAAUUUCCCCGUUAAGUUUGGUGUACAACUUCUUUUUAACCCCAGCAAUUUAUCUUCUAAACAGAAUUUAGUUCAUUUUACUCCUUUCUUUUAACAAGUCCUCAGUUUUACUAUAUCUAGAUUAUCAAACAACCCCAAUCAUUAUAAAAUCCUAGUAAAACCCCUUUCAAAUUAAACAAAUUAAAUCUUAAAUCCCUCUCUUUUUUGACACAUCUCAUGUGGCAAAAAACUCAACAUGCUCCACCCAAGCUUAGGAAAUUAAAAGGAAAAAAAGUUAGUCAUUUCAUUUCUCAGAACAGCUCAGCAAUUCUCCUCUCCGCUGUUCUGAGAAAUGAAAUGACUAACCUUUUUUCCUUUUAAUUUGUUAAGCUUGGGUGGAGCAUGUUGAGUUUUUUGCCACAUGAGAUGUGUCAAAAAAGAGAGGGAUUUAAGAUUUAAUUUGUUUAAUUUGAAAGGGGUUUUACUAGGAUGUUAUAAUGAUUGGGGUUGUUUGAUAAUCUAGAUAUAGUAAAACUGAGGA